CCACGCCGUAAACGAUGAGUGUUAGGUGUCUGCAAAAGUGGGUGCCGCAGCUAACGCAUUAAACACUCCGCCUGGGGAGUACGCACGCAAGUGUGAAACUCAAAGGAAUUGACGGGGACCCGCACAAGCAGCGGAGCAUGUGGUUUAAUUCGAAGCAACGCGAAGAACCUUACCAAGUCUUGACAUAUUUCGGCGUUUACUAGAGAUAGUAAGCUAUGACUUCGGUCAACUGAAAUACAGGUGGUGCAUGGUUGU
RNAcentral lists this ribosomal RNA (255 nucleotides) under uncultured bacterium. RNAcentral describes it as "partial 16S ribosomal RNA". It matches the Rfam family "Bacterial small subunit ribosomal RNA", at positions 795 to 1052 of the family's 1533-position model. The record is from RNAcentral.